Molecule: transfer RNA, 74 nt
Filed under: Anguilla anguilla (European eel)
Lineage: Eukaryota; Metazoa; Chordata; Actinopteri; Anguilliformes; Anguillidae
Description: tRNA-OTHER
Source: RNAcentral
GGCGACAUAGCUCAGGAGGUAAGAGCGAUUGUCUGGCAGUCGGAAGGUUGCUGAUUCAAACCCUGCUCUGGGCG